UAAUACGUAGGGCGCAAGCGUUAUCCGGAAUUAUUGGGCGUAAAGAGCUCGUAGGCGGUUUGUCGCGUCUGCCGUGAAAGUCCGGGGCUCAACUCCGGAUCUGCGGUGGGUACGGGCAGACUAGAGUGAUGUAGGGGAGACUGGAAUUCCUGGUGUAGCGGUGAAAUGCGCAGAUAUCAGGAGGAACACCGAUGGCGAAGGCAGGUCUCUGGGCAUUAACUGACGCUGAGGAGCGAAAGCAUGGGGAGCGAACA
Molecule: ribosomal RNA, 254 nt
Filed under: uncultured prokaryote
Description: partial 16S ribosomal RNA
Rfam family: Bacterial small subunit ribosomal RNA
Source: RNAcentral